UACGUAGGUGGCGAGCGUUAUCCGGAAUUACUGGGCGUAAAGCGCAAGCAGGCGGUCUGUUAAGUUUGACGUAAAAUCUCCUGGCUUAACUGGGAGGGGUCGUUGGAGACUGGCAGACUUGAGGCGAUGAGAGGGGCAUGGAAUUCCCGGUGUAGUGGUGGAAUGCGUAGAGAUCGGGAGGAACACCAGAGGCGAAAGCGGUGCCCUGGCAUUGGCCUGACGCUGAGAUGCGAAAGCGUGGGGAGCGAACGGG
This 253-nucleotide ribosomal RNA is filed under the name uncultured bacterium. RNAcentral describes it as "partial 16S ribosomal RNA". It matches the Rfam family "Bacterial small subunit ribosomal RNA", at positions 524 to 776 of the family's 1533-position model. The record is from RNAcentral. RNAcentral also lists the same sequence under 1 other name.